RNAcentral lists this ribosomal RNA (253 nucleotides) under uncultured bacterium. RNAcentral describes it as "partial 16S ribosomal RNA". It matches the Rfam family "Bacterial small subunit ribosomal RNA", at positions 524 to 776 of the family's 1533-position model. RNAcentral also lists the same sequence under 1 other name. The record is from RNAcentral.
GACGAAGGAUGCAAGCGUUAUCCGGAUUCAUUGGGUUUAAAGGGUGCGUAGGCGGACUUGUAAGUCAGUGGUGAAAUCUCUUUGCUUAACAAAGAAACUGCCAUUGAUACUGCAGGUCUAGAGUAUAGAUGACGUUGGCGGAAUAUGACAUGUAGUGGUGAAAUACUUAGAUAUGUCAUAGAACACCGAUUGCGAAGGCAGCUAACGAAACUAUAACUGACGCUGAGGCACGAAAGUGCGGGGAUCAAACAGG